Molecule: ribosomal RNA, 478 nt
Filed under: uncultured bacterium
Lineage: Bacteria
Description: SSU rRNA
Rfam family: Bacterial small subunit ribosomal RNA
Source: RNAcentral
AGGACGAACGCUGGCGGCGUGCUUAACACAUGCAAGUCGAGCGGUAAGGCCCUUUCGGGGGUACACGAGCGGCGAACGGGUGAGUAACACGUGGGUGACCUGCCCUUAGCUCUGGGAUAAGCCUGGGAAACUGGGUCUAAUACCGGAUAUGACCUCGCGAUGCAUGUCGUGGGGUGGAAAGCCUUGUGCGGCUAGGGAUGGGCCCGCGGCCUAUCAGCUUGUUGGUGGGGUGAUGGCCUACCAAGGCGACGACGGGUAGCCGGCCUGAGAGGGCGACCGGCCACACUGGGACUGAGACACGGCCCAGACUCCUACGGGAGGCAGCAGUGGGGAAUCUUGCGCAAUGGGCGAAAGCCUGACGCAGCGACGCCGCGUGAGGGAUGAAGGCCUUCGGGUUGUAAACCCCUUUCAGCAGGGACGAAGCGAAAGUGACGGUACCUGCAGAAGAAGCGCCGGCUAACUACGUGCCAGCAGCCGC